UAAAUUUUGACCACUUUAAUUUUCUCUAAAUAAGUCUCUUAGGUUUAUCACUUACAUCAGUAGAUCCUCUGCAUAUGAGUCUUCAACUAAGUUCAUUUCAUCAGAGUCAGCUUAGAGUCAUCUAAGAUAUGUCAAUGUUCCAUCUGAGUCCUUCAUAUGGGUUAAAUAGUCAACUCCAAGGACCUAAAGGUCAAAGGAGGAUCAUUUUAAC
This 211-nucleotide long non-coding RNA is filed under the name Lathyrus oleraceus (garden pea). Its description in RNAcentral is "Pisum sativum (pea) long non-coding RNA (PSAT_LNC018450)". The record is from RNAcentral. Lineage: Eukaryota; Viridiplantae; Streptophyta; Magnoliopsida; Fabales; Fabaceae.